Molecule: ribosomal RNA, 958 nt
Filed under: Fusarium oxysporum f. sp. lycopersici
Lineage: Eukaryota; Fungi; Ascomycota; Sordariomycetes; Hypocreales; Nectriaceae
Description: partial large subunit ribosomal RNA
Rfam family: Eukaryotic large subunit ribosomal RNA (bases 1-227)
Source: RNAcentral
CACCCGCACGUAUAGAUGGACAAGAAUAGGCUUCGGCUUAGCGUCUUAGCAGGCGAUUCUUCCACGGCGCUCGAAGCGCGUCGUGGUAUUUCGCGUAUUGUAAUUUCAACACGAGCGGGGUCAAAUCCUUUGCAGACGACUUAGCUGUGCGAAACGGUCCUGUAAGCAGUAGAGUAGCCUUGUUGUUACGAUCUGCUGAGGGUAAGCCGUCCUUCGCCUCGAUUUCCCCAAUGGGUUCUCCGGAUUUCUGGAGACUUGUAGGGGUUGUGGGAUUUUUGAUGUGUCGUCUCCGGACGGGCGGUGCAGGGUAGUCGAGUUAGACUUGGUGGAAUUCCGUCGAUAGGAGUUCCGUCGAGUCUGGUCAGCUGUGUGUUGGACGGUGUAGGGUAGGCUGCUUGGACAUGGUCGGUUCGAGGAUCGAUUCGAGGGCCGGCCUGUCGAUGAUGUGUGAUGUAUGCGGUCUAGGGUAGGUUGGUUUGUCUUGGUUCGAUUUGAUGUCGGCUCCCGUGCAGGCCAGAGUGAGGGGGGUCCAGGGUAGGUGCAGGGUAGGCAGCUUAGAUUUGGUCGAUCUGGAGGUCGAUUCUCCGGCUGGCGGAUCUGACACUGUCGAAACGAGAUGCGAGGGGUGUAGGGUAGGCUAGUUUCGUACUUGCCAGGUUGCGAUUUGGACGAGAUAUGUGGUUUAGGGUAGGCUCUAGGGUAAGUAGAAUUCGAGUUUCGUCGCCGAUAGUUUUCUGUGGGUGUAUGGUAGGUACAGGGUAGGCAAAUCUCUCUCCGGCCAGUACUUGUCUCGUGGUCGUGAGUCGAUUUUUUUGUUUUGCCAUACUAUUGAAUUUUGCGGAAAUUCAAAAGUGGCUCGGGAGUCCCGCCUGGCGUGCGUCCGACUCGAACAUCGUCGGUGUACAUAUGAGAGGGAGUAAUCCGGCCCGGCCGGGGCCCAUCGCGAGCUGCCGGGUAG